UUGACCUCGAAUCAGGUAGGAAUACCCGCUGAACUUAAGCAUAUCAAUAAGCGGAGGAAAAGAAACCAACAGGGAUUGCCCCAGUAACGGCGAGUGAAGCGGCAACAGCUCAAAUUUGAAAUCUGGCUCUCGGGCCCGAGUUGUAAUUUGUAGAGGAUGCUUUUGGUGAGGUGCCUUCCGAGUUCCCUGGAACGGGACGCCAUAGAGGGUGAGAGCCCCGUCUGGUUGGACACCGAUCCUCUGUAAAGCUCCUUCGACGAGUCGAGUAGUUUGGGAAUGCUGCUCUAAAUGGGAGGUAUAUGUCUUCUAAAGCUAAAUACCGGCCAGAGACCGAUAGCGCACAAGUAGAGUGAUCGAAAGAUGAAAAGAACUUUGAAAAGAGAGUUAAAAAGUACGUGAAAUUGUUGAAAGGGAAGCGCUUGUGACCAGACUUGGGCUUGGUUGAUCAUCCGGGGUUCUCCCCGGUGCACUCUUCCGGCUCAGGCCAGCAUCAGUUCGCCCUGGGGGAUAAAGGCUUCGGGAAUGUGGCUCUCUCCGGGGAGUGUUAUAGCCCGCUGCGUAAUACCCUGUGGCGGACUGAG
This 581-nucleotide ribosomal RNA is filed under the name Fusarium sp. NRRL 53128. Its description in RNAcentral is "eukaryotic LSU rRNA". It matches the Rfam family "Eukaryotic large subunit ribosomal RNA", at positions 1 to 592 of the family's 3401-position model. The record is from RNAcentral. Lineage: Eukaryota; Fungi; Ascomycota; Sordariomycetes; Hypocreales; Nectriaceae.